Molecule: long non-coding RNA, 1543 nt
Organism: Bacillus rossius redtenbacheri
Lineage: Eukaryota; Metazoa; Arthropoda; Insecta; Phasmatodea; Bacillidae
Exons: 3
Source: RefSeq, a predicted model, not a curated record
GCGCGUAGAGCCAGCCUGAACUGUUGCGGCGGCGCUCGCCGCGAGACCUCGGGCUGUGAACUUCUACUACUGUGGCCGAGCUGUUAACAUCAUGAGCGGAGGUCGCGCUCAUGAUUUAGAGGACUGCAGAGUUUCUGCAUUAUAACAAGCGUCGGGUCUGCCCGGGAUGACGCGACUCGUCAAUUCAAGAAGGACGCCAGGGUAUAUAAGAAGAAAUGCCGGCUUCCGCGGCAGUUCCAAGAGUUCGGAGAGUCCAGCAAAUGAAGGGAAGCGCAGCAUCGGCAAAGAGGCGCGUGUCAGGGACAACACCAGUCCGACCGCUGCGCCCGCCGACUGCAAGACGUCGGAGAACCUCCGGCGUCCAGGAAUAGGCGCCGUGACGUCUGCCGCGUGGGGUCGUCGACCCAGCCGGGUUUCCGGGUGCCUGGACACGGCUGCCAACUGCUGCUGGGGUCACGUGGGUGCUUCAUCACAGAGGAGCCAAGAAUACAGAUUUCAACAACCCUCGCUUCAAUUAUGAGUUAUGAUUAGGGGCAUGCAGAUUUCGCGAAAAGAUUUCGAGACUAGAUGAAAGUUAAAACACUGUAGCAUCGUCUGUGUUUCGUGAUUGGGCGAGUUUCUCCCAGGUACAUAUCGAUUGUUACAACACCAAUCACAGUGAUUCAGUGCGAAAGUAAACGCGUCCUGAGUGGCCCGGUCAAAUAAGGCAUCGUCUUCUCUCGCAGACGGCCAUCAAUCACAAGGGAGAAACCACAGGUGCGGGUAUACCUUGUUGCAGUCUAAUAAGGGUUCAGAACUUUUCGCGAAAAAUACCUGCCCCUAGUAAUGAUUAGUGACUGGAAAAACUCACGGAGUGAAUGCCCUCCAGAGUAGACUCCCAAGUCCUCUGAGCACCCAGGAAAAUGUCAGCUGUUCAUUGGCUGCUGAAUGUGAAACAUCUGAACUGUGCAGCCUGUGAUUCGACACUUCUUCGGUUGCAUCUUUCUCAUUGGCCCACAUUAGGCCAUACAAACCGCGAGACGACGGCACAAGAAGCACAGAGUUGCUAUAUAAGUUGAGGCAUGCAUUUUUAGCUAAACAAUCUGAUAGCUCAUUAGACUGCAGAAAGGUAUAGCUGUGCUACGAAUGUCUCCUUGUGAGUGGCAGCCUUCUGCAAGAGAUACCAUUGCCCCAUUAUGUCGGGCCAUUCAUCCGUCCUGGAUAAUUGUGACAGUAGACAUGUACCUGAAAGAAACCCAGCCAACAAUAAUACGCAGACAUGCUACAAGGUUUUAACACACAGCUGGUCACUGAACUGUAAAUCUUUUCGCGAAAAAUACAGUUCCCUAACUAUCAUUGUUUGUAUUUUAUCUUACAAUGAUUUGAACAACGGAUUUUUUCUGUAUCCACUAUGCAUGCGUAGUUUAUAGGUAGCUACAUGUAUUUUUAACACACAACCAGUAUCUUAAUAUUUUCGCAAAUAAACACUCGCUUCUUAAUUUAGGUUCAAGGUCAAGAUGUUAUCUGGGAACUGAAUGAAUUUCAAUAAAGUGACCAAACCCGA